This 465-nucleotide ribosomal RNA is filed under the name uncultured bacterium. RNAcentral's name for it is "partial 16S ribosomal RNA". It matches the Rfam family "Bacterial small subunit ribosomal RNA", at positions 28 to 507 of the family's 1533-position model. The record is from RNAcentral.
GAUGAACGCUGGCGGCGUGCUUAACACAUGCAAGUCGAACGGAAAGGCUCCUGCUUGCAGGGGUACUCGAGUGGCGAACGGGUGAGUAACACGUGGGUGAUCUGCCCUGCACUUCGGGAUAAGCCUGGGAAACUGGGUCUAAUACCGGAUAGGACCACAUUUUGGAUGGUGUGGUGGAAAGUUUUUCGGUGUGGGAUGAGCUCGCGGCCUAUCAGCUUGUUGGUGGGGUAAUGGCCUACCAAGGCGUCGACGGGUAGCCGGCCUGAGAGGGUGUACGGCCACAUUGGGACUGAGAUACGGCCCAGACUCCUACGGGAGGCAGCAGUGGGGAAUAUUGCACAAUGGGCGCAAGCCUGAUGCAGCGACGCCGCGUGGGGGAUGACGGCCUUCGGGUUGUGAACUCCUUUCGCUAGGGACGAAGCGCAAGUGACGGUACCUGGAGAAGAAGCACCGGCUAACUACGUG